This 82-nucleotide small RNA is filed under the name Clostridiales bacterium. RNAcentral describes it as "Gut-1 RNA". It matches the Rfam family "Gut-1 RNA". The record is from RNAcentral. Lineage: Bacteria; Bacillati; Bacillota; Clostridia; Eubacteriales.
AAAUGAAAUAUUGGCCUUCGGCCAAUGUGAAAUACGGCUUCGCCGUGUGAAAUAUAUGCCUGCGGCAUAUAUGAAAUAUUCG